ACACUUCCACUGAAGACUUUUACAGAACCUGGAGAUUUUCUGUUAGAUCAAUUUGGACAUGGUCUGCCCUCUUGUCCCAAAAGUAAAGACUCCUCAUACAUUUAUGAAAUAUACAACAAAAUUCUGGAACUCAGACAGCCAUGUCGGGGAAAAGGCAAGGAAGUUUGCCUGGAGUUGUGAAAAUAACCCAUAUUCAUACCACAUCUGUACAGUGGUGCUCCAAUAGGAAGAAUGGAGGUUUUGCUACCUGUGCGACAUACAAUCUAACAGAACCAGUGACAUAGUCAUUCUUUUUUGACUAAUGACAGAGGAAACUACCUCAAGGGAGUGAGUGAUAUCAUUACAAAACUGGAAUAAGUAACCUCAAAUGAGGACAACUGAAAUAUUUCAUCUUGCCUAAAAAAAAUGCUGGAUGAGAAAGAAAAUGUAGCAAAAUAAUGUUCAAGAUUUGCAUGAGAUCUGGACCGAAUUGAAACACUUCCACAGACUUGAACAGGAUUUGUAUUCAUCUCAUAGUCUGCUUUAAGUAAAAUAAUACAGCAUGGCAGUGAUUCCUGGGAGAGUUUCCUUUUUCAGACCUUCCACAAAUCUUCUAACAAACAGACCUACUAAGCUGUUCAAUGAUGAUAUUACACUUGUCUAAUCUAUAUUGCCUGGCCUGGAUUAGACAAUCUUACCAUUCCUAUUUCUCACUCAUUAAAGCACUCUCAGAUAACUCAGUAUAUAAUACAAUUGUGAAUUAAAUGCAGUCAGAAAUAUACUUUUUACCUAUUGUAGAAUGAAUUCCAAUUGAUAAGUAAAAUGUAAAUCUCAGGAUUGCAGCAUUUUGUCCAUCAAGAAGAAAGCUAAUUUCUCCUAUCAGAUGUGUCUGAUUGUGUCUCUCAGCUGAAACGAAGAAAGAAGUCACUCUGAACAUUUUGCUAAUAAGUAAUAUCAAUCAGGGAGGAAUAAUUACAAAGAAAUGGAAGUAAAUUAGCUUGCCUCCUGACAGCACUGAAGUGAGAAAUGAGUACAUAAGAAAGGGUAUGCAAUAGGUAUGAAGAGUGUAUUUGAGUGGAACAUGAGUGCACUUGGAAUGUAAAAGGAAAAUGAGUUCGGGGGGAAAUUUUAAGAAAUAAAAGGCUCUUUUAAGUGGUGUUCAGCAACAGGACAAGGGGCAAAAACUGCAACACUGGGAGUUCCAUAAAAAUAUGGGAAUUCUUUACUGUGAGGGUGACAGAGCACUGGAACAGGCUGCCCAGAAAGGUGUUGGAUUCUCCUUCUCUGGAGACAGGAGGCAUCUUAUCAUUUGAGAAUAAAUUACUUUUAUUUACUGCUUCUUUUUUUCUUCAGGGGAGCUUUGUUGGUUUUAGCACUUAGUCUUUGUUUCUUGGUAUGUCUGAUAUGAAGGUUACGAUCUGGGUCUUGUUUCAAAAGUUGUUAAGCAAUUUAAGAAUUUAAGAUGCAAAUGAAAUGUUAUUGAAUUCCCAGUAAAGAAUAAAUAACUUCCACAGAUCUAUAUAUGAUAUGAUUUCUUAUUCAAAUCCUCUACCUAACAUAAGCAGCUUGUUGGUUGUUAAUAGAAAAGACAGAAGAGGGAUAAUCCUUGGCCUACUGAAAUCAAUAUAUAUUUUAGCAUUGUUACGAAUUGAAUUUCUUCUGAAUUACUACUUCUCUAGGUGGAGACUGGAUUGCAAAGACCGUGGUCUGACUUCAUUUUUAAAAUGAGAGCUGGUUCUAACAUAGUAGAGUUAUUUCUCCAAAAAUAUUUUGUUGUCCUGUGUCACGGAGUUACCUAGAUAGAUCUGUGCCCGUGACAGGGGGCCGGUAGGCUUGUGGGCCCCCCUCCCCCUUCACUUCCCGAGAAAAACGAAGCGGUGGCAACAAUCUAAGAAGGAGAACUUAUUUUACUAACUAUGAUGUUGAGAUGCAAGAUGACACGAUACAAUACAAUCUAAUCGGGAGUAAGUAUAAUAAACCAAAUGGAAUGAGGGAGAGAGAGCGAAAGAGCGAUAGAGAGGGAGAGAGAGAGAGAGUGAGAGAGUUUCCGAAACCGAAAGCCUUACUUGAUGAAGGCGCCCGGCUUGGAAAGCACACCCACUCCUCUCCCGGCAGCAAGCGAAAGUGAAGAAGCACCGCGCGCAACCAGAUGACGUAUCUUCCGUGAUGUGUCUUCCUUCUCUGACCGUGAGGUCCUCUGGGAUACGUAGUUCUUCUCUUUUGUCCAUGAUGUUAUGAUGUGGAAUACCAAUAGCGAAGUUACAAAACCAUGACAUCCUGCAAAAUGUUACAUAUUAACAGAUUAAUGAAUUUCACCACAAUUGCAAAUUUUGUCCACCAUCAAGCUCUGGUUCUCUGAAAAAACAAAAUCUUCCCUCAUUCUAAAUAAACGUCACAGCUUCC
Gallus gallus (chicken) is the source of this 2382-nucleotide long non-coding RNA. NCBI's taxonomy places the organism in Eukaryota, Metazoa, Chordata, Aves, Galliformes, Phasianidae. The record is from Ensembl.